This 253-nucleotide ribosomal RNA is filed under the name uncultured bacterium. RNAcentral's name for it is "partial 16S ribosomal RNA". It matches the Rfam family "Bacterial small subunit ribosomal RNA", at positions 524 to 776 of the family's 1533-position model. The record is from RNAcentral.
UACGUAGGGAGCAAGCGUUGUCCGGAAUCACUGGGCGUAAAGAGCACGUAGGCGGCUAUUUAAGUCAGAUGUGAAAACCAAGGGCUCAACCCGUGGAUUGCAUUUGAAACUGGAAAGCUUGAGGACAGGAGAGGUAAGUGGAAUUCCUAGUGUAGCGGUGAAAUGCGUAGAUAUUAGGAGGAACACCAGUGGCGAAGGCGACUUACUGGCCUGUAACUGACGCUGAGGUGCGAAAGCGUGGGGAGCAAACGGG